UACGGAAGGUCCGGGCGUUAUCCGGAUUUAUUGGGUUUAAAGGGAGCGCAGGCUGAUUAUUAAGCGUGACGUGAAAUGUAGAUGCUCAACAUCUGAACUGCGUCGCGAACUGGGCUUCUUGAGUGAGUACGACGUCAGCGGAAUUCGUGGUGUAGCGGUGAAAUGCUUAGAUAUCACGAAGAACCCCGAUUGCGAAGGCAGCUGACGAGUCCUUUACUGACGCUAAAGCUCGAAGGUGUGGGUAUCGAAC
Molecule: ribosomal RNA, 250 nt
Filed under: uncultured prokaryote
Description: partial 16S ribosomal RNA
Rfam family: Bacterial small subunit ribosomal RNA
Source: RNAcentral